CUGGAAUCGUGACUCAGUGACUGCGAGCCUGAAAAAGAAAGAAAGUGUUGGUACAGAAAAACCAAAAAAACAACAUAUUUUUCUGCGUGUGGCUCAUCUGUUCCAGUUUGAGAAGCUGGAGGGCAUCCCGGAGCUGGGCGUGAUAAUGGAGCAGGCCGAGGGCGAGUCGGAUCGAGAUGACCGAAUGUGUUUACCGCAAACUCUGGGGGACGAGCCGGACCCCGGGCCCAUCAUCCCUCUGCCGUCACCUGAUCAGCACCUGCAGCAUCAGAGACAGUUCGGGGAGAACCGCCGGGUGCUGCAGGCCCUGCGGACGCUGCUGGAGGAGUUUCGGGAGGAGCUGCGCGAGGAGGAGACGCGGCGAUGGCAACUGCAGCAGUCCUACGCCAAUGACAAAGCCGCCUGGGAGGUCAAGUGGGCGGAGAUGAAGUGCCAGGUGGCCCAGGUACAGAUGGCGUCCCAGCGCUCCCACCUUCAACGGGACGGGACACAAUCUGGUGCAUGAAAACCCGGCGGUGCCUCCAAUGGCGGGACCACAGCAAACACGUUGUUGCCUCUUCCACGGAUGAACUCGCACACAGGGGUCGAAACCUGUAAUGUCAGCUCCCCCUUUUGGGCCAGAAAGUGCCAUUUUGAAAAUCUGAUAAUAACACGAAUUAUAGCUCAAACUAAAUUAAAUUCAUAAUCUCUCCCUUCAACCAUUAAAUUGGAGGAGGGUCAUCAUCCAAGAAAAAUGCAGAUGAAUCACCUCCUUGGCACAAUGUAAUGUGGAUACACAAUUUAUUUUCUGGUGCAAACUAAUUGCUGAUUGUUCAGUGUCAAUCAAAGCAUUUCCCUUCUGAAGACAGCGCUCCCUCACGUUCCCUAAUGGGAUACUCGUAAAUACUUCUCAUACUUGGAACAAACUGUCUUCGUCUCAGAUGAUACGCGCACCUGAAAGCUGACACCAGUCAUUUUGGUACAGAAGCCGCUGUAUUUUGUUUUUUUUGGUCAAUAUCAAAAAUAUUGUCUUUUACGACAGUGACAGCCUUUAAUAUUACAAAUGUCCACAAAUUUCCCAAGUUUAAAAAAAACUCAACACACGCAAAACAGCCCACCAUCAAAUAUUAAAAAAAAGUUACAAGGGGUAGAACUGAUCACAUGUAGUACAUUGAGGCCAGUACGGGUACCAGAUUAAAAGGUUUAUUAGAUGCCCAAACAUUGCACAGCAGUUUUUAACAUUGUUGCAUUUUGACUCUCGGUUGUGGUAAUUGUGGGUUAAAAUGGUGAAAUUACCACGUUUGACGUUGAAGGUCAAGGUUCAAAUUUCUUACUC
This 1315-nucleotide long non-coding RNA is filed under the name Scophthalmus maximus (turbot). Its description in RNAcentral is "lncRNA (ENSSMAG00000029317.1)". The record is from RNAcentral. Lineage: Eukaryota; Metazoa; Chordata; Actinopteri; Pleuronectiformes; Scophthalmidae.